CAAAGGAGGAGCGUGGCAGACGGGUGAGUAAUGUGUAGGAACAUACCUUUUCAUUUGGAAUAACGUUUGGAAACGAACGAUAAUACCAAAUAAGCCCUAAGGGGGAAAGAUUUAUCGUGGAAAGAGUGGCCUAUAUCGGAUUAGGUAGUUGGUAGGGUAAGAGCUUACCAAGCCUAUGAUCUGUAGCUGAUCUGAGAGGAUGAUCAGCCACACUGGGACUGAGGCACGGCCCAG
This 234-nucleotide ribosomal RNA is filed under the name uncultured bacterium. RNAcentral's name for it is "partial 16S ribosomal RNA". It matches the Rfam family "Bacterial small subunit ribosomal RNA", at positions 83 to 334 of the family's 1533-position model. The record is from RNAcentral.